RNAcentral lists this ribosomal RNA (253 nucleotides) under uncultured bacterium. RNAcentral's name for it is "partial 16S ribosomal RNA". It matches the Rfam family "Bacterial small subunit ribosomal RNA", at positions 524 to 776 of the family's 1533-position model. The record is from RNAcentral.
UACGAAGGGGGCUAGCGUUGCUCGGAAUUACUGGGCGUAAAGCGCACGUAGGCGGCUUUCUAAGUCGGGGGUGAAAUCCUGGAGCUCAACUCCAGAACUGCCUUCGAUACUGGCGAUCUUGAGUCCGGGAGAGGUGAGUGGAACUCCGAGUGUAGCGGUGAAAUGCGCAGAUAUCAGGAGGAACACCGGUGGCGAAGGCGGUUCUCUGGGAAUGUCCUGACGCUGAGGAGCGAAAGUGUGGGGAGCGAACAGG